AGUGAACGCUGGCGGUAGGCCUAACACAUGCAAGUCGAACGGCAGCACAGUAAGAGCUUGCUCUUACGGGUGGCGAGUGGCGGACGGGUGAGGAAUACAUCGGAAUCUACUUUUUCGUGGGGGAUAACGUAGGGAAACUUACGCUAAUACCGCAUACGACCUACGGGUGAAAGCAGGGGAUCUUCGGACCUUGCGCGAUUGAAUGAGCCGAUGUCGGAUUAGCUAGUGGGCGGGGUAAAGGCCCACCCAGGCGACGAUCCGUAGCUGGUCUGGGAGGAUGGUCAGCCACCCUGGAACUGAGACACGGUCCAGGCUCCUACGGGAGGCAGCAGUGGGGAAUAUUGGACAGUGGGCGCAAGCAUGAUCCAGCCAUCCCGCGUGGGUGAAGAAGGCCUUCGGGUUGUAAAGCCCUCUUGUUGGGAAAGAAAAGCAGCAGGUUAAUACCCCGCUGUUCUGACGGUACCCAAAGAAUAAGCACCGGCUAACUUCGUG
RNAcentral lists this ribosomal RNA (492 nucleotides) under uncultured bacterium. Its description in RNAcentral is "partial 16S ribosomal RNA". It matches the Rfam family "Bacterial small subunit ribosomal RNA", at positions 29 to 507 of the family's 1533-position model. The record is from RNAcentral.